AGUAAAUAGAUACCCAGGUAGUCCACGCCGUAAACGAUGGAUGCUAGCUGUUACGAGUAUCGACCCUUGUAGUAGCGAAAGCUAACGCGUUAAGCAUCCCGCCUGUGGAGUACGGCCGCAAGGCUAAAACAUAAAGGAAUUGACGGGGACCCGCACAAGCGGUGGAGCGUGUUCUUUAAUUCGAAGGUAAGCGAAGAACCUUACCAGGGUUUGACAUCCUCGGAAUCUUUCCGAAAGGAAAGAGUGCUUUAUUGAGCCGAGUGACAGGUGUUGCAUGGCCGUCGUCAGCUCGUGUCGUGAGACGUUAGGUUAAGUCCUUCAACGAGCGCAACCCUUAUAUUUAGUUGGAUUUUUCUAAAUAGACCGCCCCGGUAACGGGGAGGAAGGAGGGGUCGAAGUCAGGUCAGUAUUACCCUUACAUCCUGGGCUAGAAACACGCUACAAUGGCCGAUACAAAGGGCUGCCAAGUCGCGAGACGGAGCAAAUCCCAUCAAAGUCGGUCCCAGUUCGGAUAGCAGGCUGAAACUCGCCUGCUUGAAGUCGGAAUCGCUAGUAACGGUGAAUCAGC
RNAcentral lists this ribosomal RNA (568 nucleotides) under uncultured bacterium. RNAcentral's name for it is "bacterial SSU rRNA". It matches the Rfam family "Bacterial small subunit ribosomal RNA", at positions 774 to 1353 of the family's 1533-position model. The record is from RNAcentral.